Molecule: ribosomal RNA, 360 nt
Filed under: uncultured bacterium
Lineage: Bacteria
Description: bacterial SSU rRNA
Rfam family: Bacterial small subunit ribosomal RNA
Source: RNAcentral
UUACGGGAAACUGAAGGUAAUCCCCCAUAAUAUUGCGGGAAGGCAUCUUUCUGCAUAAAGUUUCGACGGUAUAUGAUUGGUGUGCGUUUGAUUAGCUAGUUGGUAGGGUAACGGCCUACCAAGGCGACGAUCAAUAGCUGGCGUGAGAGCGCGACCAGCCACACUGGAACUGAGACACGGUCCAGACUCCUACGGGAGGCAGCAGUAGGGAAUAUUGGACAAUGGGCGAAAGCCUGAUCCAGCCAUGCCGCGUGAUAGAUGAAGGCCCUCUGGGUUGUAAAUAUCUUUUAUCUGGGAAGAAACUCCUCUAUUCUUAGAGGCCUGACGGUACCAGAGGAAUAAGCACCGGCUAACUCCGUG